This is a long non-coding RNA of Sciurus carolinensis (gray squirrel), 774 nucleotides long. RefSeq lists it as uncharacterized. The transcript is spliced from 3 exons. Lineage: Eukaryota; Metazoa; Chordata; Mammalia; Rodentia; Sciuridae. The record is from RefSeq and is a predicted model, not a curated record.
CAGAAGACGCGGCCGCCGCGGCUCAGGCACACGCGCGCGCCGCCGGGCCGCGCCGCCGCGCCGCAGAAGGUGAAGGAGCAGCGCGAGGCGCGCAGCCGCCGCACCGUGGUGCGCACGAGCGCGGCCGGCCGGCGCCCCCAGCGCGCCCACAGGGCAGGAACAGAAAUUGAAGACCGGUCAGCAUCAAAAAGGCUGUACAAGGUGCUCUUGCCACUUGUGGAUUACCAAUCUACGCCGUACCUACACCUGGCCUGUGGAAACUGUCCAGAUUUACCCUCACAUGUUUCAAGAUGCCAUGAUCUCAGAACACAUGGGAAAAUUACAUUUUAGAGUCAAUCCUGUAUAUGAAUUCCAAGUUGUAACGAAUGGGGAUCACCAUGGUUCAACAUGAACUAAGAAGAAGAAUCAGGGGUCCCUUUCCAGCCUGUGAAUUGAAGAGCACUAAUGUGAUUUUUUUUUUCUUUUUUUUUUUUUUGUACUAGGAAUAGAACCUGGGGUACUUUCCCACUGAGCAACACUCCCAGCCCUUUUUAUUUCUUGAAACAGUCUUGCUAAGUUGCUGAGGCAGGCCUCAAACUUGAGAUCCUUCUGCUACAGCCUCCCUAGUCACUAGGAUUACAGGUGUGCACCAGCACACCUGGCUUGAAGAGCACUGAUACCACUCAUGCCUAGGGAAGCAACAGAGGACAGAUAUGGCAGGGACAGUAAGAGGUUAAACCGUCACAUGAGAAGCUCUGCUUAGGAUCCCUACCUAAAACGACCUCGUUUGAUGUU